Molecule: non-coding RNA, 21 nt
Filed under: Arabidopsis thaliana (thale cress)
Lineage: Eukaryota; Viridiplantae; Streptophyta; Magnoliopsida; Brassicales; Brassicaceae
Source: RNAcentral
GCCCAUGUCGUAAGUGCCUCA